AAUCGAAUGACUCUCGGCAAUGGAUAUCUCGGCUCUUGCAUCGAUGAAGAACGUAGUGAAAUGCGAUACUUGGUGUGAAUUGCAGAAUCUCGUGAACCAUUGAGUCUUUGAACGCAAGUUGUGCCCGAGGCCUUGUGGCCGAGGGCACGCCUGCUUGGGCGUCAUGG
Molecule: ribosomal RNA, 167 nt
Filed under: Boesenbergia rotunda
Lineage: Eukaryota; Viridiplantae; Streptophyta; Magnoliopsida; Zingiberales; Zingiberaceae
Description: 5.8S ribosomal RNA
Rfam family: 5.8S ribosomal RNA
About the family: 5.8S ribosomal RNA (5.8S rRNA) is a component of the large subunit of the eukaryotic ribosome. It is transcribed by RNA polymerase I as part of the 45S precursor that also contains 18S and 28S rRNA.
Source: RNAcentral